Molecule: long non-coding RNA, 98 nt
Organism: Sander lucioperca (pikeperch)
Lineage: Eukaryota; Metazoa; Chordata; Actinopteri; Perciformes; Percidae
Exons: 3
Source: RefSeq, a predicted model, not a curated record
GUGGAUACAAUUUGAAUGUUUGUUUACAAUAACUUCUGGGUAGAAAAGUCCUGCGUCCCGUACAUACAAUUUAACAGUGCUGAACAAACAGGGACGAG